Molecule: non-coding RNA, 30 nt
Filed under: Mus musculus (house mouse)
Lineage: Eukaryota; Metazoa; Chordata; Mammalia; Rodentia; Muridae
Source: RNAcentral
UGAUGGAAGAUAUCAGAAUUAUUCAGGCUA